This 255-nucleotide ribosomal RNA is filed under the name uncultured Burkholderiales bacterium. Its description in RNAcentral is "partial 16S ribosomal RNA". It matches the Rfam family "Bacterial small subunit ribosomal RNA", at positions 524 to 778 of the family's 1533-position model. Lineage: Bacteria; Pseudomonadati; Pseudomonadota; Betaproteobacteria; Burkholderiales. The record is from RNAcentral.
UACGUAGGGUGCAAGCGUUAAUCGGAAUUACUGGGCGUAAAGCGUGCGCAGGCGGUUAUGCAAGACAGAGGUGGAAUCCCCGGGCUCAACCUGGGAACUGCCUUUGUGACUGCAUGGCUAGAGUACGGUAGAGGGGGAUGGAAUUCCGCGUGUAGCAGUGAAAUGCGUAGAUAUGCGGAGGAACACCGAUGGCGAAGGCAAUCCCCUGGACCUGUACUGACGCUCAUGCACGAAAGCGUGGGGAGCAAACAGGAU